RNAcentral lists this ribosomal RNA (400 nucleotides) under uncultured bacterium. RNAcentral describes it as "bacterial SSU rRNA". It matches the Rfam family "Bacterial small subunit ribosomal RNA", at positions 355 to 752 of the family's 1533-position model. The record is from RNAcentral.
UGAGGAAUAUUGGUCAAUGGGCGCGAGCCUGAACCAGCCAAGUAGCGUGAAGGAAGACGGCCCUACGGGUUGUAAACUUCUUUUAUACGGGAAUAAGACCGUCCACGAGUGGAUGCGUGCAUGUACCGUAUGAAUAAGCAUCGGCUAACUCCGUGCCAGCAGCCGCGGUAAUACGGAGGAUGCGAGCGUUAUCCGGAUUUAUUGGGUUUAAAGGGAGCGUAGACGGGUCCUUAAGUCAGUUGUGAAAGUUUGCGGCUCAACCGUAGAAUUGCAGUUGAAACUGGGGGCCUUGAGUGCGGCAUAGGCAGGCGGAAUUCGUGGUGUAGCGGUGAAAUGCAUAGAUAUCACGAAGAACUCCGAUUGCGAAGGCAGCCUGCUGGACCGUAACUGACGUUGAUGC